RNAcentral lists this ribosomal RNA (497 nucleotides) under uncultured bacterium. RNAcentral describes it as "partial 16S ribosomal RNA". It matches the Rfam family "Bacterial small subunit ribosomal RNA", at positions 28 to 507 of the family's 1533-position model. The record is from RNAcentral.
GAAGAACGCUGGCGGCGUGCCUAAUACAUGCAAGUCGAGCGAACAGACGAGGAGCUUGCUCCUCUGACGUUAGCGGCGGACGGGUGAGUAACACGUGGAUAACCUACCUAUAAGACUGGGAUAACUUCGGGAAACCGGAGCUAAUACCGGAUAACAUGUUGAACCGCAUGGUUCAACAGUGAAAGACGGUCUUGCUGUCACUUAUAGAUGGAUCCGCGCCGCAUUAGCUAGUUGGUAAGGUAACGGCUUACCAAGGCAACGAUGCGUAGCCGACCUGAGAGGGUGAUCGGCCACACUGGAACUGAGACACGGUCCAGACUCCUACGGGAGGCAGCAGUAGGGAAUCUUCCGCAAUGGGCGAAAGCCUGACGGAGCAACGCCGCGUGAGUGAAGAAGGUCUUCGGAUCGUAAAACUCUGUUAUUAGGGAAGAACAAAUGUGUAAGUAACUAUGCACGUCUUGACGGUACCUAAUCAGAAAGCCACGGCUAACUACGUG